GUGUUCAAAUGUAAAGUGAGGGAAGAAGAUCAAAAGUUAAAGUGUGUCCUUAAACAAGGGUGAUCUCCUCCUAUAUAUAUUAAUCUACUAACUAAGGAUUACAGAAAAUAAGAUAAACUAGACUUGUAGUGCGAAAAUCCACUUUCCGGGCCCACUUGGUGAGUGUUUGGGAUGAGCUUGAGUGAAGCCACGAGCUAAUACUCCCUUUUGGGCGUCCAACGCCAGUUUUGGACUCCUGAAUGGGCGUUGGACGCCAGCUACCCCCUUUUGGGCAUUGGACGCCAGGACUGGGGCUGGUGGCUGGCAUUGAACGCUAGUUUUGGACCUUCAUUUCCAAAGCAAAGUAUAGACUAUUAUAUAUUUCUGGAAAGCCCUGAAUGUUAGCUUUUCAGAGCCGUUGAGAGCGCGCCAUUUAGAUUUUUGUAGCUCCAGAAAUGCUCCUUUCAGUGCACGGAGGUCAGAUCCUAACAGCAUCUGCAGUCUUUUCUCUGUCUCUGAAUCAGACUUUGUCAAAACUCCUUAAUUUCAACCAGAAAAUACUUGAAAUCAUCAUAAAACACAACAACUCAAAGUAGAAUCUAAAAAUAUAAAUUUUUCACUAAAACCUAUGAAAAUAUAAUAAAACUUAAACAAAAUAUAAUGAAAACUAUAUGAAAAUGAUGUCAAAAAGCGUAUAAAAUAUCUAUUCAUCAUUUAAUAAGAUUGUAUGUUGGUUUUUGUAUAUCUUAGAUAUAGAUAAAGUGAUAUAGCCGCAAAAACACAAUUUUUUAAUUUGUUUGGUGACUAAACACAUGAUAGAACAUACAAAUCACAAUCUAAUUAGAAUAUUAUUUGUUACAAAUUAACACCACUUAACAAUUACCAUCUCAACCAUACCACCACCCUUAAAAGUUCUUAAUCUAACAACGAAUUCAAUCAACAAACCGAGUGCAAGAUUACUUAAAUAAAACUUAAAUCAAAAUCUAAAUAAAUAAAACAUUCAAAAUAUAUAAAAUAAAAAAAUAGAGAACUGAAAAGAGACUGACGGGAAAAAGAGAUGGAAGUAGAGGAAGAUGACGACAGAGCAGAGAGAUAGAGGUAGAGGAAUACUAAGGCGUGGAAUCAAAACUUCGGUAGAAGAAGAUCAAGAGGAAAAAAAGAGAAAGAUAGAUAUAGGAGCUGGUGACGUUAGAGACGACACAGACGUUAUGCGAAGGAGAAGCAAUAGUGGACUGAGGCACAUGCGAAGGCAACCACAGUGCGAAGUAAAGACACAACGAUGUGACAAAGACAGAUGUGAUGAUAAAGAAAAAAAAAAGACGAAAUCGGAGUGAAGAGAGGCAAAAAAAGAGGCAACAAAAAGGCAAUAGUGAUAGUGAAAGCACAUGAAGAAUAAAGAAAAAAAUGAUGAUAAUAGAGGCGAUAAAAACUGUGAAGAGAGAAAGAAAGGAAGGAGGAACAACGAUCAUACUGUGGGUGGUAGGAAAGGAACUGAAGAGGAGACGAUGAUAACAAGAAAAAGGAGAAGGAGAGGCGACGACAAUGGUUUGCUUGGGAGGGUUAUGCUACAAUGAGG
Molecule: long non-coding RNA, 1555 nt
Filed under: Arachis ipaensis
Lineage: Eukaryota; Viridiplantae; Streptophyta; Magnoliopsida; Fabales; Fabaceae
Description: long non-coding RNA (AIPA_LNC002500)
Source: RNAcentral